This 666-nucleotide ribosomal RNA is filed under the name Triticum aestivum (bread wheat). RNAcentral describes it as "partial small subunit ribosomal RNA". Lineage: Eukaryota; Viridiplantae; Streptophyta; Magnoliopsida; Poales; Poaceae. The record is from RNAcentral.
AUGAAAGGGUUCCUACCUGCCAAGGCGGAGCUCGCAAGGAGACAUAUUGGCGAGGAUGUGAUUUGGGCAGUGUGUGGACAUGAGGAUGAGACAUUGUUUCAUUCUUUGGUUACCUGUACACAUGCACAAGUGUUCUGGGCAGAGGCACUCAGAUUUUUGGGCUGUAACCUCCCUACGAUGCUACAUCUGACUUGGACAAGGGAUCUCCUCGACCCCAGCUUCAUCGCAAAGGAGGAUGCAGCCGUUGUAAUCUCGGUGAUGUGGGCAAUAUGGAGCGACCGCAACAAGUACACUCAUGGGGAGCGGCAGUACCAGCCGAUCAAGUCUAUGGAGCUAAUACAGGAGCACCUGAGAGCUCUGAAUAUACCAGCCAACGACAAGGUCGUACAGCGGCAGAAAGAAAGGUGGAAGGCCUCGGCAAAAGGUGUGCUGAAGCAAAAUGUGGAUGCUGCAACUGAUGCUAUGGUACACAGAGCUGGGACGGCGGUAGUGGCAAGAAAUCACAAAGGAGAGUUGCAGGUAGGGAGAUAUGUCUCAUAUGAGGGGCUCACUGAUCCAUAUGUGUGCGAAGCAAUGGGGUGCAGAGAUGCUAUGCUGCUAGCUAUGGACAGAGGAUGGCCUAGGGUGGAGAUCAUAUCAGAUUGCAAACCAGUAGUAGAUGACUGA